GCGCCGUUAGCUCAGCUGGAUAGAGUAUCUGACUACGAAUCAGAAGGUCGCAGGUUCGAAUCCUGCACGGCGCACCA
This 77-nucleotide transfer RNA is filed under the name Actinobacteria bacterium HGW-Actinobacteria-7. Its description in RNAcentral is "tRNA-Arg". It matches the Rfam family "tRNA". From Rfam's summary of the family: Transfer RNA (tRNA) molecules are approximately 80 nucleotides in length. Their secondary structure includes four short double-helical elements and three loops (D, anti-codon, and T loops). Further hydrogen bonds mediate the characteristic L-shaped molecular structure. tRNAs have two regions of fundamental functional importance: the anti-codon, which is responsible for specific mRNA codon recognition, and the 3' end, to which the tRNAs corresponding amino acid is attached (by aminoacyl-tRNA synthetases). tRNAs cope with the degeneracy of the genetic code in two manners: having more than one tRNA (with a specific anti-codon) for a particular amino acid; and 'wobble' base-pairing, i.e. permitting non-standard base-pairing at the 3rd anti-codon position. The record is from RNAcentral. RNAcentral also lists the same sequence under 3 other names. Lineage: Bacteria; Bacillati; Actinomycetota.